AAAAAGAUAAAAAAGAAGAAGAGAAAAGAAUACAUAAUUUACUUAUUUUUAAAGAAAACUGCCAAUUCAAAAGGAAAUUAUAAUUUCCUUCACAUAUUUUGUUUCAACUCAGUGUUAUAUACUGAUAUCCAUUCAAUUCAAAGGGAACCGCUCUUCCGUUGAUUUCAGACUGCACGCAAAACUCUCCGAUCAAAUUCCCGAAAGAUCAAUUUUGUUUCUACAAUUUCUUUUCCCACAGCCGGAAACACUAAAUCAGAGUUUUGUGGGUUUUUUUUUUUAAGUCUCAAGAUGGAUCUUUCGCAAGAGACCAAAAAUUACAUCGGGUGAUUGGCAUCGGAAGAAGACUAGAUUAGUCGGUGUUCUCCUCUAGAUUUCCCCGUCGCUUUUUAUUUGGUUAUUCAACUUCAUUUACAGUUGAAAAUUUCUGAUAAUUCUCUUUUUUCAGUUGAAAUAUGUUAACGUAUUUUGGUGAUUCCUAUAACUGCGAAGCUUUGAAUCGGCAAAAGGUCCUCUACUCCAUCUCCUAAUGGGCUGGUGGCAAUCCUCAAUAACCCGAUACAACUUGUGCGAAGGGAAAGUCCAUAUCAUGUUCAGUUUAUCCUUUUUCUUGGCCAAAAUUCAAACUUUUUUACUGAUAUGGUUGGUCACUACAUAAUUUUUUAAGCUGCUUCUAUUCUGAAUGAUAUAUUUUUUCUUUUUUAUUUCUUCAUCCUUUGUGAGAUAAAAUGAAGAUUUAGGUGUUUUUGAAGUUGUGUGCCAGCUUUCCUCUUGGUCUCUGCACUUCAUUUUUCUUUGUCUUGCCUUAACUAACUUCAUAUGUGAUAUGCGUUGUUUCCGGUCAGAGUAUAGUAUUCAAUUUUCCAUAUGUGUUUUUAUCAAUGAUUACUUUCCUUAGUACCGUGAAUUACAUUUUUGUUGGGAAAUGACUUUAAACAAAAAGGGAGGAGGAAAUAAAUCUAAGGUUAUAGCUUGAACAGAACAUUAAUCAAACAUGUUAUGUGCAAGGGGAAAAUAACAGACCAUAAUAUAAGAAAACAACAACAGACGAAAAUGCUAUUGCAUCAAUAAACAUGCUCUAAUAAAUGGGUAAGAGAAGACUUCGAUAGCGAUUAGACAAAACAAAUAGGAGAGGAGGAUUCCAGCCAAAGAUUCGUGAUACUCACCGGACUUUUCCAAUUUCUAUCAUUAAAAAAAACACCUAAAUUGAGGCUGAAUUAGGAAUAAUUUUCUCCGCCGAAAUUGACAAAUAUGAAGCAAGAAUCAGUGAGAUAAUAGAAACUAGAGAACUAUCCAGAAGCUGAGAGUAAUAGAGCAAUUAAGAAGGUUGAUGACACACAUAGAAGAUAAGACAUGAAAGGGAAAGUAUUAAGUAUAAGCGAUUACACCUUAUGUACUUUUUAGACUUGGAAGAUGCCUCCUCCUUUAAUCAUUUUCAUGUUCUAAUCCUGUCUCAAAAUAAAAGUUUGGGAUUUGAAUUUCUCAGAUUUUCAUCAAGUUCUAUAUGUUGCAUGUGUUAGCUAGGGCUCGAGAGUAAACAUUGGAAUGAGUAGAUUUUUGCUCUAAUUCUGUAUAGUAUUUCAUAUCGCUGAUUUUUGCUAAUCUUUGGCUAGAAAAUGAGACCGUUAGAUUGGCAGUAAACUCUUUCAACUCCAAUCCUGUUUUAGAAAAUGAUGCAGUUAGAUCCCCACCUGAAAAAUAGUUUUCAUCAGUUGGAGUGACCUUAUGGAGCAAUUCUAACAUUUGAGUAAACGUUGGAAUGAGUAGAUUUUUGCUCUAAUUAUGUAUAGUAUUUCAUACUGCUCGAGAAUGUUUGUUGUUUGUUCAAUCUGCUUUUUGGUUUUUGCUUGAUUUUAAAAGGCCUCUCUAAGUUUUUCUCUGUUGGCAGGAAAUCAACUAAAACGUCGUUUUAGUCAUUUGAUUUUUAUUUUGUUUUUAAAUUUUGUAACGUUUUAGUCAUUUGAUUUUUAUUUUGUUUUUAAAUUUUGUAUUCAUCUAAAUCAAUAUCCUAACAGGUUACGGUGCUCAAAUCUGAAACUGCUUACAAUUUAGAGUGGUAGCUUUUUGAUGGGUUUGACAAUGUUCAGGUGUUGCCAGUUAAAAUAAUUUUCCUUAUCAUGUUGCACUGAAAUCACAAAUAUCUCUGAGUUUAGCCUUUAAUAUCAUGAAGCUAUUGAUAUCUGACAUGCAUGCACAUCAUAGUGGCAUGUUGACAAGAUUUCCAAUUUUACUUUUCUAUUAAUAGCUGACAUGCAUGCAUAUCAUUAAUUUCCUUAACUUAUAUGUUUUCUUUUACAUAUUCAGAAAGCCACGAACACCCUUGAAAGGGCGGCACCUCUUACACAUGCAGUUGAAAAUUAAUGUGUUGAGAUAUGUACUUAUAAUGGAUUAUUAAUUAUUAUCUUCAACAAAUAUACAUUUUUGUUAAGUUAUAUCAGCAUAAUGUAAUAUUACAGACUUUCAAGUACCUUGAUGAGGAAAUUUAAACAAUAAAUAUGUUGCAAGCAAUAAAAUUUCAACACAAAUCAGUUUGGAGCUUUGCAUUGCAAAUUCUGGAGUUGCAGUCCUACUCUUUCAUUAAGACCAAGACGGAGGGAGAGAAAGUGCAACAGAAAGCCGCAUGAAAAUAGAAGAAGCUCUUAUGUGGAAGAAGGCUGUCAUAGACUAUGUCUUGAAUUCAAUUUCUCUCCAGUCCAAAUAAGAACAAAUAGUCAAGACAGUGCCUGCUUGCUAUGUGGUACUACUACUUAAAUAAGAGAAGUACCGUCCUUUGAAUGUGUAUUCUCACAAGCCUGUUUCAUUAUUGCUCUAGCCAGACGACAGAUUAAUAUAAAGAGGCAGGAUCUAUUAGGAAUGUGGACCAGAGUGGCAAGGAGGGAAACAUGAAGAUAAGCAAGGCAUUCAUCUGGGUCGUGGUUGCCACAAUUAUAUAUCAUAUUUGGAUAGCAAGGAAUGACUCCGGGUGCCUCAUCCACCUUCAAUUAGUAAGGAAGUGCUACAGGAGUGCAAAUACAGAUUUUUUGACAUGAUGAAGUGGCAACCAACAUACAAAGAUAGAAGAUGGAUAGAAUAGAUACUGUUGGGCUUAACUAUAUAGAAAGGACUAGGUUGUUAAUUGUAAUAGCAACAGAUAGCGAGUUUGUUAGUUGGUCGCUAUUUUUUUAAUUUUUUUAAUAGUUGUAAUUUCAAGUUGUAAAGGGGACCUUUUUAAUUGGUGUUUCAAUAAUACGUGGUUCGUUCACUAAA
Molecule: long non-coding RNA, 3243 nt
Organism: Lycium barbarum (goji berry)
Lineage: Eukaryota; Viridiplantae; Streptophyta; Magnoliopsida; Solanales; Solanaceae
Exons: 2
Source: RefSeq, a predicted model, not a curated record